Molecule: transfer RNA, 74 nt
Filed under: Anaerococcus octavius
Lineage: Bacteria; Bacillati; Bacillota; Tissierellia; Tissierellales; Peptoniphilaceae
Also listed under: 1 other name
Description: tRNA-Arg
Rfam family: tRNA
About the family: Transfer RNA (tRNA) molecules are approximately 80 nucleotides in length.
Source: RNAcentral
GCGCCAGUAGUUUAGUGGUAAAACAAAGGUGUCCGAAGCCUAAGAUAGGAGUUCGAUUCUCUUCUGGCGUGCCA